CUGCGGAAGGAUCAUUACCGAGUGAGGGCCCUCUGGGUCCAACCUCCCACCCAUGUUUAUUGUACCUUGUUGCUUCGGCGGGCCCGCCUCACGGCCGCCGGGGGGCUUCUGCCCUCUGGCCCGCGCCCGCCGAAGACACCAUUGAACACUGUCUGAAGAUUGCAGUCUGAGCAAUUAGCUAAAUAAGUUAAAACUUUCAACAACGGAUCUCUUGGUUCCGGCAUCGAUGAAGAACGCAGCGAAAUGCGAUACGUAAUGUGAAUUGCAGAAUUCAGUGAAUCAUCGAGUCUUUGAACGCACAUUGCGCCCCUUGGUAUUCCGGGGGGCAUGCCUGUCCGAGCGUCAUUGCUGCCCUCAAGCACGGCUUGUGUGUUGGGCCCCGUCCUCCUUCCCGGGGGACGGGCCCGAAAGGCAGCGGCGGCACCGCGUCCGGUCCUCGAGCGUAUGGGGCUUUGUCACCCGCUCUUGUAGGCCCGGCCGGCGCUUGCCGACAACCAUCAAUCUUUUUUCAGGUUGACCUCGGAUCAGGUAGGGAUACCCGCUGAACUUAAGCAUAUCAAUAAGCGGAGGAAAAGAAACCAACAGGGAUUGCCUCAGUAACGGCGAGUGAAGCGGCAAGAGCUCAAAUUUGAAAGCUGGCCCCCUCGGGGUCCGCAUUGUAAUUUGCAGAGGAUGCUUCGGGAGUGGCCCCCAUCUAAGUGCUCUGGAACGGGCCGUCAUAGAGGGUGAGAAUCCCGUAUGGGAUGGGGUGUCCGCGACCAUGUGAAGCU
This 770-nucleotide ribosomal RNA is filed under the name fungal sp. RNAcentral's name for it is "eukaryotic LSU rRNA". The stretch from base 515 to 770 matches the Rfam family "Eukaryotic large subunit ribosomal RNA", at positions 1 to 253 of the family's 3401-position model. The record is from RNAcentral. Lineage: Eukaryota; Fungi.